RNAcentral lists this ribosomal RNA (401 nucleotides) under uncultured bacterium. RNAcentral's name for it is "bacterial SSU rRNA". It matches the Rfam family "Bacterial small subunit ribosomal RNA", at positions 975 to 1374 of the family's 1533-position model. The record is from RNAcentral.
CUGGGUUUGAAAAGCAAGUGACAGGCGAUGAAAGUCGCUCUCGUAGCAAUACGCACUUGUACAGGUGCUGCAUGGCUGUCGUCAGCUCGUGCCGUGAGGUGUUAGGUUAAGUCCUGCAACGAGCGCAACCCCUGCACUUAGUUGCCAUCAGGUAAUGCUGGGCACUCUAGGUGGACUGCCUACGCAAGUAGAGAGGAAGGUGGGGAUGACGUCAAGUCCUCAUGGCCCUUACAUCCAGGGCUACACACGUGCUACAAUGGCCGAUACAACGGGUUGCCAAAUCGCGAGAUGGAGCUAAUCCCUUAAAAUCGGCCUCAGUUCGGAUUGGAGUCCGCAACUCGACUCCAUGAAGCUGGAAUUGCUAGUAAUCGCGGAUCAGCACGCCGCGGUGAAUACGUUCC